Molecule: long non-coding RNA, 272 nt
Filed under: Mytilus galloprovincialis (Mediterranean mussel)
Lineage: Eukaryota; Metazoa; Mollusca; Bivalvia; Mytilida; Mytilidae
Source: RNAcentral
UUAAAUAUCGUCGCUGGGCUUCUAAAAUGUCGUAUAUGACUUUUUUGGCUAAAAAUACUUGUUGACACCAAUGGUCUGGGCGGGAGGAAAUCUUUGUUAUCACAAAAUAGCAUACAGUUAGACCAAUCAAAAUGUGUGAAAUAAGACAUAUUACAAAAUGCAAUGUCAGUUGUUUGUAAAGUUGCUUCCAAAAUGUUGUAUGAAAACUUGAAAAUCGUUGUAGAAUGGUUUUGGGAAAAAAAUAAUUGUACAUUUCUUUAUUUCUGUGAAAA